This 254-nucleotide ribosomal RNA is filed under the name uncultured bacterium. RNAcentral's name for it is "partial 16S ribosomal RNA". It matches the Rfam family "Bacterial small subunit ribosomal RNA", at positions 524 to 776 of the family's 1533-position model. The record is from RNAcentral.
UACGUAGGGUGCGAGCGUUUGUCCGGAAUUAUUGGGCGUAAAGAGCUCGUAGGCGGCUUGUCACGUCGGGUGUGAAAGCCCGGGGCUUAACCCCGGGUCUGCAUUCGAUACGGGCUGGCUAGAGUGUGGUAGGGGAGAUCGGAAUUCCUGGUGUAGCGGUGAAAUGCGCAGAUAUCAGGAGGAACACCGGUGGCGAAGGCGGAUCUCUGGGCCAUUACUGACGCUGAGGAGCGAAAGCGUGGGGAGCGAACAGG